Neopelma chrysocephalum (saffron-crested tyrant-manakin) is the source of this 407-nucleotide long non-coding RNA. RefSeq lists it as uncharacterized. The record is from RefSeq and is a predicted model, not a curated record. The transcript is spliced from 4 exons. NCBI's taxonomy places the organism in Eukaryota, Metazoa, Chordata, Aves, Passeriformes, Pipridae.
CAAACAUUAAUUUCAGAUAGAAGAGAAACAGGAGGCAAAAAAAACCCCAAAACCAACAGAAAAAAAAUCUCAGCAAAGCAGACCUUUGAAAGGACUCUACCAUGAGAGGGAUAGCAUGUUGAACACAUAUAUACUAAAAUGUGAAAACAUCAGAAGUUACAGGUUUUCCUGGCAAAUGGAUUUUGAUGGAGACAAAAGGCAGAGUUUUUCCUGGAUUUUUAGAAGUCUCUAAAUCAAGCUUAUAACAAGAUUCAUCCCUUUCACUCGGACGUGCUCAUAGACUGCGGAGUCCAAGACAGUGCCAUAAGGAAUAUCUGUCUGCCUCGAGAGAUCCUGGAGAGACCUUAAUUGUUGGUGAAGAAAAGAGACACAGGAGACUUGAAGCCACAUUUUCAAGAGGAAUGAGC